RNAcentral lists this ribosomal RNA (497 nucleotides) under uncultured bacterium. RNAcentral describes it as "partial 16S ribosomal RNA". It matches the Rfam family "Bacterial small subunit ribosomal RNA", at positions 28 to 507 of the family's 1533-position model. The record is from RNAcentral.
GAUGAACGCUGGCGGCGUGCCUAAUACAUGCAAGUCGAACGCAUAGCGAAAGGUGCUUGCACCUUUCAAGUGAGUGGCGAACGGGUGAGUAACACGUGGACAACCUGCCUCAAGGCUGGGGAUAACAUUUGGAAACAGAUGCUAAUACCGAAUAAAACUUAGUGUCGCAUGACACAAAGUUAAAAGGCGCUUCGGCGUCACCUAGAGAUGGAUCCGCGGUGCAUUAGUUAGUUGGUGGGGUAAAGGCCUACCAAAACAAUGAUGCAUAGCCGAGUUGAGAGACUGAUCGGCCACAUUGGGACUGAGACACGGCCCAAACUCCUACGGGAGGCUGCAGUAGGGAAUCUUCCACAAUGGGCGAAAGCCUGAUGGAGCAACGCCGCGUGUGUGAUGAAGGCUUUCGGGUCGUAAAGCACUGUUGUAUGGGAAGAACAGCUAGAAUAGGAAAUGAUUUUAGUUUGACGGUACCAUACCAGAAAGGGACGGCUAAAUACGUG